Molecule: ribosomal RNA, 492 nt
Filed under: uncultured bacterium
Lineage: Bacteria
Description: partial 16S ribosomal RNA
Rfam family: Bacterial small subunit ribosomal RNA
Source: RNAcentral
AGUGAACGCUGGCGGUAGGCCUAACACAUGCAAGUCGAACGGCAGCACAGUCAGAGCUUGCUCUUACGGGUGGCGAGUGGCGGACGGGUGAGGAAUACAUCGGCAUCUACUUUUUCGUGGGGGAUAACGUAGGGAUACUUACGCUAAUACCGCAUACGACCUACGGGUGAAAGCAGGGGAUCUUCGGACCUUGCGCGAUUGAAUGAGCCGAUGUCGGAUUAGCUAGUUGGCGGGGUAAAGGCCCACCAAGGCGACGAUCCGUAGCUGGUCUGAGAGGAUGAUCAGCCACACUGGAACUGAGACACGGUCCAGACUCCUACGGGAGGCAGCAGUGGGGAAUAUUGGACAAUGGGCGCAAGCCUGAUCCAGCCAUGCCGCGUGGGUGAAGAAGGCCUUCGGGUUGUAAAGCCCUUUUGUUGGGAAAGAAAAGCAGCAGGUUAAUACCCCGCUGUUCUGACGGUACCCAAAGAAUAAGCACCGGCUAACUUCGUG